UACGUAGGCAGCAAGCGUUGUUCGGAAUUACUGGGCGUAAAGAGUGUGUAGGCGGUGCUCUAAGUUCGGUGUGAAAUCUCCCGGCUCAACUGGGAGGGUGCGCCGAAAACUGGAGUGCUGGAGCGCGGGAGAGGAAAGCGGAAUUCCUGGUGUAGCGGUGAAAUGCGCAGAUAUCAGGAGGAACACCGGUGGCGAAGGCGGCUUUCUGGGCCUUACCUGACGCUGAGGAGCGAAAGCUGGGGGAGCAAACAGG
Molecule: ribosomal RNA, 253 nt
Filed under: uncultured bacterium
Lineage: Bacteria
Description: partial 16S ribosomal RNA
Rfam family: Bacterial small subunit ribosomal RNA
Source: RNAcentral